GGGAAAGCAGGCAAACUCCACUGCUCUCCCGAGCUGCGCAGGGCAAGGCAGGGACGUCGGCUCCGCCCUCCCCGCCCUCCUGCCCUUAACUACCGCAAUGCUUUGGCCCAUCGCUAGCUCCUUUAUCCGGAUACGGGAAGACCCGGACCCGGCUGGGGGUAGGGGGUGGGGUACGAGCCUCUAGGAACAGCCUGCCCUCACGGAGAAAAGCCUCUGCCCUGAGGGUCUUGUGCAUCUUGAACUCUCUCCUCCCCUGACAGCCACUGCCGCCUCCUCUCUUCCUAGGAUCCAGUCACCCUCCUUGCCUUUUCCAUGACGCCAGUGGAGAACUCUGAAAGUUUGCAAAGUGAGGGGCUGCAAGGAGGGUGCCAGUGCCGGGACCACGAGAGGCGAUUAAAAGAGGGUGCCUGUUGCUCAGGCCAAAAACUGGAGGCAUCCUUGACUUCCCUCAUUAUCCUGGGACUCCUCUAAUCAUCGUCUCACUGCUACUGCUGCUCUCCUGGUCCCAGCUACCAUCUUUCUCGCCUGGAUCACUGCAACAACUUCCUAAUGGUUUGUUUCCACCUCUGCCUCCCGAUAGUCUGUUCUCAACAUGGCAUCGGGGUGAUCCUUUUAAAACGAACUUCUUGAAGACAAAUUAGCCAGGCCAUUUCAUGAAAAUAGGAAAGUGAGUAAGCACUAAUCAAACAAGAAGGGAUGUUCAAG
This is a long non-coding RNA of Phyllostomus hastatus (greater spear-nosed bat), 705 nucleotides long. RefSeq lists it as uncharacterized. Lineage: Eukaryota; Metazoa; Chordata; Mammalia; Chiroptera; Phyllostomidae. The record is from RefSeq and is a predicted model, not a curated record. The transcript has 3 exons.